RNAcentral lists this ribosomal RNA (406 nucleotides) under uncultured bacterium. RNAcentral describes it as "partial 16S ribosomal RNA". It matches the Rfam family "Bacterial small subunit ribosomal RNA", at positions 30 to 526 of the family's 1533-position model. The record is from RNAcentral.
AUUGAACGCUAGCGGCAGGCCUAACACAUGCAAGUCGAACGAGUGGCGGACGGGUGAGUAAUGUAUCGGAACGUGACCGGUAGAGGGGGAUAACUACUGGAAACAGUAGCUAAUACCGCAUACCAUCGGAUGUGCCCAGAUGGGAUUAGCUAGUGGGUGGGGUAAAGGCUCACCUAGGCAACGAUCCCUAGCUGGUCUGCGAGGAUGACCAGCAACACUGGAACUGAGACACGGUCCAGCCUCCUACUGGAGGCAGCAGUGGGGAAUUUUGGACAAUGGGGGAAAGCCUGAUGCAGCCAUGCCGCGUGUAGGAUGAAGGCCUUCGGGUUGUAAAGUACUUUUAGCGGGGAGGCGUUACCCGCAGAAGAAGCACCGGCUAACUACGUGCCAGCAGCCGCGGUAAUUC